This 253-nucleotide ribosomal RNA is filed under the name uncultured bacterium. RNAcentral's name for it is "partial 16S ribosomal RNA". It matches the Rfam family "Bacterial small subunit ribosomal RNA", at positions 524 to 776 of the family's 1533-position model. The record is from RNAcentral.
UACGAAGGGGGCUAGCGUUGUUCGGAGUUACUGGGCGUAAAGGGCGCGUAGGCGGCCUGAUCAGUCUGGUGUGAAAGCCCGGGGCUCAACCCCGGAAUUGCACUGGAGACGGUCAAGCUUGAGUGUGGGAGAGGAUGGUGGAAUUCCCAGUGUAGAGGUGAAAUUCGUAGAUAUUGGGAAGAACACCGGUGGCGAAGGCGGCCAUCUGGACCAUUACUGACGCUGAGGCGCGAAAGCGUGGGGAGCAAACAGG